Molecule: ribosomal RNA, 499 nt
Filed under: uncultured bacterium
Lineage: Bacteria
Description: bacterial SSU rRNA
Rfam family: Bacterial small subunit ribosomal RNA
Source: RNAcentral
CCUGGCUCAGGAUGAACGCUAGCUACAGGCUUAACACAUGCAAGUCGAGGGGCAGCAUGGUCGAAGCUUGCUUCGACUGAUGGCGACCGGCGCACGGGUGCGUAACGCGUAUCGAACCUGCCCUAUACACGGGGAUAGCCUUGCGAAAGUAAGAUUAAUACCCGAUGCCAAGUUGAGAUCGCAUGAUUUUGAUUUGAAAGAAAUUCGGUAUAGGAUGGCGAUGCGUCUGAUUAGGUAGAUGGCGGGGUAACGGCCCACCAUGCCGACGAUCAGUAGGGGUUCUGAGAGGAAGGUCCCCCACAUUGGAACUGAGACACGGUCCAAACUCCUACGGGAGGCAGCAGUGAGGAAUAUUGGUCAAUGGGCGAGAGCCUGAACCAGCCAAGUAGCGUGAGGGAAGACUGCCCUACGGGUUGUAAACCUCUUUUGUUUGGGAAUAAAGUGCGGGACGUGUCCCGCAUUGCAUGUACCAUUUGAAUAAGGACCGGCUAAUUCCGUG